UACGAAGGGGGCUAGCGUUGUUCGGAAUUACUGGGCGUAAAGCGCGUGUAGGCGGUUGUUCAAGUCGGGUGUGAAAGCCUUGAGCUCAACUCAAGAAAUGCACUCGAUACUGGAUGACUUGAGGACCGGAGAGGAUAGUGGAAUUCCCAGUGUAGUGGUGAAAUACGUAGAGAUUGGGAAGAACACCAGUGGCGAAGGCGGCUCACUGGACGCGAUAUUGACGCUGAGGUGCGAAAGCGUGGGGAGCAAAACAGG
This 255-nucleotide ribosomal RNA is filed under the name uncultured bacterium. RNAcentral describes it as "partial 16S ribosomal RNA". It matches the Rfam family "Bacterial small subunit ribosomal RNA", at positions 524 to 776 of the family's 1533-position model. The record is from RNAcentral.